This is a long non-coding RNA of Puma concolor (puma), 541 nucleotides long. RefSeq lists it as uncharacterized. NCBI's taxonomy places the organism in Eukaryota, Metazoa, Chordata, Mammalia, Carnivora, Felidae. The record is from RefSeq and is a predicted model, not a curated record.
UCGGCGCCAUUUUGUCUGAGCGGCGGUGGUCGCAGCUCUAUCGCAUUUUACGUUUCUGGAGAGACGAGAGCCGACUGUGUAUCCUGUAGAUUCAUUUUAGUGCGGCACCUAUCCACGGUUCACUCCAGGACAGCACCUAGUGAAGGUCGGAGGAGUCGCGAACCUGUCAACAGGUCGGUUGGAAGCUGUGGCUGUCCGAGUGACUAGGGGAUGGCGCAGCUUUAGCGGCACCGGCACCGGAAGUGGACGGGCCGCGCGGCGGCCAUGGCAAAGUGGUCUGAAGAAAACCAAAAUCUCUCAGUGACAUAUCCUAAAGUAUUACUGAGAAUAAACCUCAUUUUGUGGGAAAAUGAAGGAAGAUGUUCCAGUUUUAAAAGACCUGGAUCUACUGUUGAAAAUUCUGUUUCUGGUCCCUUUAUGAAUGAUGGAAAUAGAAGCAAAUGGAUAGUCUUAAUCAGAUAAGUGCUUUAAUAGUCUAAAUAUAUUUUUUGUAAUCCCUAAACUAAAACUUGAUUCUUUAAAACAUUUUUGAUUUCUCUUU